Corythoichthys intestinalis (scribbled pipefish) is the source of this 280-nucleotide long non-coding RNA. RefSeq lists it as uncharacterized. The transcript is spliced from 3 exons. The record is from RefSeq and is a predicted model, not a curated record. NCBI's taxonomy places the organism in Eukaryota, Metazoa, Chordata, Actinopteri, Syngnathiformes, Syngnathidae.
CGGUGAUAGAGGUUAGAGUUGAGCGUCAAAACAAUGAAGAGAAGAGUCGACCUGUUUAAAGGGACAAGAAAUGAACAACAGUAAUGUAUGCUGUUAUAAACAUGAAAGAGGUGCCAUAGGCACUGAAGCUGUUCAAUAGUACAGAUGCAGUGAAAAUUCAACAUAAGGAGAUGGUGAUAUUAAGGAUGCCACCAAUCAUUCUUUGGGUACGAAACACCAACCAAUCAUCUUAAAUAAGGAAUAGACGCCCCUUGGAGGGGAUGGCAGCGAUCGAAUGAGC